GACCUGGUAGCACAAUGUCAGUGCGUCUGCGUACAAUACGAGGGACAUAUCAACGUCUGUAGAAGGUCCCCGUUCGACUCGGGGUCAGGUCA
Non-coding RNA from Mycena latifolia, 92 nucleotides. The record is from the annotation of a GenBank genome assembly. Lineage: Eukaryota; Fungi; Basidiomycota; Agaricomycetes; Agaricales; Mycenaceae.